Molecule: ribosomal RNA, 671 nt
Filed under: Bacillus sp. (in: firmicutes)
Lineage: Bacteria; Bacillati; Bacillota; Bacilli; Caryophanales; Bacillaceae
Description: bacterial SSU rRNA
Rfam family: Bacterial small subunit ribosomal RNA
Source: RNAcentral
GCGAAUGGAUUGAGAGCUUGCUCUCAAGAAGUUAGCGGCGGACGGGUGAGUAACACGUGGGUAACCUGCCCAUAAGACUGGGAUAACUCCGGGAAACCGGGGCUAAUACCGGAUAACAUUUUGAACUGCAUGGUUCGAAAUUGAAAGGCGGCUUCGGCUGUCACUUAUGGAUGGACCCGCGUCGCAUUAGCUAGUUGGUGAGGUAACGGCUCACCAAGGCAACGAUGCGUAGCCGACCUGAGAGGGUGAUCGGCCACACUGGGACUGAGACACGGCCCAGACUCCUACGGGAGGCAGCAGUAGGGAAUCUUCCGCAAUGGACGAAAGUCUGACGGAGCAACGCCGCGUGAGUGAUGAAGGCUUUCGGGUCGUAAAACUCUGUUGUUAGGGAAGAACAAGUGCUAGUUGAAUAAGCUGGCACCUUGACGGUACCUAACCAGAAAGCCACGGCUAACUACGUGCCAGCAGCCGCGGUAAUACGUAGGUGGCAAGCGUUAUCCGGAAUUAUUGGGCGUAAAGCGCGCGCAGGUGGUUUCUUAAGUCUGAUGUGAAAGCCCACGGCUCAACCGUGGAGGGUCAUUGGAAACUGGGAGACUUGAGUGCAGAAGAGGAAAAUGGAAUUCCAUGUGUAGCGGUGAAAUGCGUAGAGAUAUUCAGGAACACCACUGGCG